UACGUAGGGGGCAAGCGUUGUCCGGAAUCAUUGGGCGUAAAGAGCGUGUAGGUGGCUCGGUAAGUCCGCUGUAAAAGUCCAGGGCUCAACCCUGGAAAGCCGGUGGAAACUGUCGAGCUAGAGUCCGGAAGAGGCGAGUGGAAUUCCUGGUGUAGCGGUGAAAUGCGCAGAUAUCAGGAGGAACACCGAUGGCGAAGGCAGGUCUCUGGGCCACUACUGACGCUGAGAAGCGAAAGCGUGGGGAGCGAACAGG
Molecule: ribosomal RNA, 253 nt
Filed under: uncultured bacterium
Lineage: Bacteria
Description: partial 16S ribosomal RNA
Rfam family: Bacterial small subunit ribosomal RNA
Source: RNAcentral